Misgurnus anguillicaudatus (oriental weatherfish) is the source of this 811-nucleotide non-coding RNA. NCBI's taxonomy places the organism in Eukaryota, Metazoa, Chordata, Actinopteri, Cypriniformes, Cobitidae. The record is from RefSeq and is a predicted model, not a curated record.
AAGAGAAAGUGGAUGCGGAGUUAUGAAGAAGACUUCUUUACUUUUCUGGACUGCUGUGGACAGGCUUGGCUGAUGAAAAUGUCAAAAUUCACGAGUUUGUACUUACAUAAUCAAAUUUAGUUUGAUUCCCAAACUGGGAUAGGAGGGAGGUGUUAGGGUGUUGGAGGGAUGCUGGGAAAUUGUCCAGGAACAAAGGACGCAAAGGCAUCAGAUGUUUGAAAAGACCCAUAUAUCUCCUGGGACUUCAGAGGAAAAAGAUCUGAAUCUGUUUGACAAAAUUCCCCUCUUUCUCUAUCUCGCUCCUGAGCAGCGACUACCAGACAUCAAACGAAGAGAGCGCUAAUCACAGAGAGAACCGCAGGGUAAAGCAAACAGCUGAGGGCGACAGCAUAUGGAUGGAGGGGUGUCAAACGUGACUAGAAAGGUACAGCUGAGGUCUUCCUUUCUUCUUGCUUGGUAUCAAGGGGCGAGGCUUAUUGACCCCCGAAAUAUCACCCAUCUGACACCCUGACCUAAAUCUGUCCUGAACGCCUUUAUCUCGACAGAGCUCUAGUAGGUUUUGACGUGCAAUGUGACACAUAUCAACGAUCGGGACACUGAUAUGACUGAUAAUACAACACGUGUCCCUGUCUUCAGCUAAGCUUCCUUUACACUGACAGCAGACUGCAGGAAUGCUGCUUAAACACUGUACUUGUGUUUAGUUUGAGUUUAGUAGCUCUAUGUGUGUGCACACAGACCCUCUGUUUGAGCCUGUACAGAUUUUGAGGAAUAAUCAAUUAUUCUGAGAUUGAAUAUAAACAUUUUUGAGUGA